This 493-nucleotide ribosomal RNA is filed under the name uncultured bacterium. RNAcentral's name for it is "partial 16S ribosomal RNA". It matches the Rfam family "Bacterial small subunit ribosomal RNA", at positions 27 to 507 of the family's 1533-position model. The record is from RNAcentral.
GAGUGAACGCUGGCGGUAGGCCUAACCCAUGCAAGUCGAACGGCAGCACAGUAAGAGCUUGCUCUUACGGGUGGCGAGUGGCGGACGGGUGAGGAAUACAUCGGAAUCUACUUUUUCGUGGGGGAUAACGUAGGGAAACUUACGCUAAUACCGCAUACGACCUACGGGUGAAAGCAGGGGAUCUUCGGACCUUGCGCGAUUGAAUGAGCCGAUGUCGGAUUAGCUAGUUGGCGGGGUAAAGGCCCACCAAGGCGACGAUCCGUAGCUGGUCUGAGAGGAUGAUCAGCCACACUGGAACUGAGACACGGUCCAGACUCCUACGGGAGGCAGCAGUGGGGAAUAUUGGACAAUGGGCGCAAGCCUGAUCCAGCCAUACCGCGUGGGCGAAGAAGGCCUUCGGGUUGUAAAGCCCUUUUGUUGGGAAAGAAAAGCAGCAGGUUAAUACCCCGCUGUUCUGACGGUACCCAAAGAAUAAGCACCGGCUAACUUCGUG